Molecule: long non-coding RNA, 2078 nt
Organism: Bos taurus (domestic cattle)
Lineage: Eukaryota; Metazoa; Chordata; Mammalia; Artiodactyla; Bovidae
Source: Ensembl
AAAUUAUUUACGUUCAACAGGCCUAACAGAUAGUGGCGGGUCAAAAGCUGGAAGCAAACCAAAGGCCUAUCAAUUUAUGAAUGGAUAAACAAACUGUGGUUCAUCCAUAACAGGUAUAGCUCAUCACUGGAUGUGUUUCAUCCAGGGAAAUACUAUUCGGCCUUGUAGCUAAAAACUACAAGUUUAGUUUAACUAAAAGUGUAAGUUUUAGUUCUGUAGUUAAAACUUAAAAAGGUACUAAAACGCUGGAGUAUUUCAAACUGCUGCUGAUUGUCAACUGGAAAUUAGAUAAAAUUCGAAAUUGUAAUAUUAAAUAAAAAACAUUUACAAGACAAAAAAAUCGAGUUUUUUUAAUGAAUGUGGGAAUUGUUUUGCUAAAUUUUCCAUUAAUUUACAAGAUAUUCUCCAAGUCUCUCAGUAAAUGUGAAAACAAAGGAGAGGUUUAAAAAAAAAACUUUAAAAAAAUAAAAAAUAAACACCGUUUCAGAACUGUGCCACCUGAAAUUUAUCUCCACGGUUUGCAAACGCUCAGAAGUCUAUUUUCAAUAUGCUUUGUUGCUGCUGUUUAGUCGCUCAGUCGCGUCUGACUCUUUUCAACCCCGUGGACUAUAGCCAGCCGGGCUCCUCUGUCCAUGGAAUUCUCCAGCCAAGAAUACUGGAAUGGGCUGCCAUUUCCUUCUCCAGGCUAUCUUCCCAACCCAGGGAUACAGCCAGCGUGUCCCGUAUUGGCAGGCGGAUUCUUUACCACUGUGCCACCUGGGAAACACUUUCAAGACGCUACUGCAAAGUAUUCAUCAGAAGAAUCCUCUGUGUCAAUAUUUAUGUGCUUUUCUGGGGGAUCAGAGUGGGCAGUUCUAGCUGCCACAAACUCACAACCCAAUUCAAAUGCUAAAGCAAAUACCCGGAGGGUAAGAAGGCCCCCGCUGUGCGGAGUCACAGGAGGAGGACAUCAGUUUGUAUGGUCCAAAAGCCCUCAGGGUGAAAAGUGCCCUGGGUAAAGCCUCCAAUUAUCCUGCCCUGAUUUGACUCUCAGGUGGCAAGUAAGGCCUCAGGGAAGAAAAUAAACUCAUUCAUUGUAGUCAUUGGGAGCUUUCUGAGUGCAGAGUAGGUUUCCAAACACUGAUAUUAGUCUGGGUGAAUGGCAAUCCUCACUUAACCAGGCUUUUUUCGGAAACCUGAAACUCACCUACCCAAUUAGAAAGUCAGAAAAAUGUCUCUAUGUUCCCUGUUGAGAAAGGGGGCACCCCACCAAUUCCUAAAAAUACAAUAAUACAAUACAAUAAAUGUAAGGUUAUAUGAGGAAUUCGAGAGAAAAAGCAUUUACAAAACAUUAAUUUAAAGUACAUCGCCAGGGAACUACAAAAACUCCCACGGGUGUUCAAUAAAUACUUUUUGAACACCUAUGAGCCAAACAAAUGCAAAGUACCAGGCCCCAGCUAUCAACACUGGGAGACUUACUUCCUCUCCCCAGUCCACCGCUGGCUCUUGUCUUGGUCACCAGCCGGCUCCACCGUGCUAAACCCAGCGGUCCACCUGGAUCAGGUCCAGCCUCUGACCCCUUUGAUCACCUCUCGGGGAACCACUCGCUGCUCCCGGUUUUCCUCCUACCUCGCUGGAUCGCCCACCCUCCUGGGGCUUCACCACUGCACCCCGCCUCGGAUGUCCAACACAAGGCUCCCAGUUCACAGUCAAGCCUCAACUCUUGAACGUUCCCCAAAAGCCUUAGGUCGCCAUCCUCCUUGGCCCCCACUUCUCCCUUCGGCUCACGUCUCACACCCAUACAACCCGAUAAACCCCAGCAACCGUGUCCCAACCCGGCCGCGCCUCCCACGCCCAUCACCCGGUCCAGGCCCAUCAGCCCCGGGCACUUGACUUUCCAACCUCGUUUCUGGUCCCCUCCCUCGCCUCUCCGGCCGCAGCUAGGCCCCGGCGCUGUGCCGGGAAGACCCCCGAUCUCCGGCCUCCGCCCGCGUGUCUGCCGGGGGGUUUUGGGGGCUGCCAGCUGGAUCCACCCGAAGAAACGGGGUCCGCGCCCCCUUCCCUUCCUCGCCCUACCCCCUCGCCCUCCCCGUUUCCCA